UCUAGGGCCUUUUUGCCCGAGUAACAGCGCGCGCUCCGGCAGUCCUUCUCGUACCCUCGAGUGGAAAACACCUAACCACAUCUAGUGAUCUGUAUUCUUAAAUAAACGCCAAACUUAUUCUACAAACCAUUGACUAUCGUCUCAUCUCGCUAUCCUUUAUCGAUCCUGGUGAUUUCAACGCUCAACACAAAGCUUGGGGUAGCGAACUUGAGAAUGCACUGGGUAAGACCUUAAGUGACUUUUUGGUAUUCUCCCCACACUUUCGAAAAUGAUGGAUCUGCUACCAGGAUUUUCUGCAGGAAAAGUUGCCCAGACAUAUCAUUAGUUUCAAUUGACCUACAUAGUAAAAUCAACUGGGAGGUGCUAGAGGAUUCAAUGGGAAUCGGCCAUUUUCCUCUUCUUCACUCCAUCCUCUUAGAGGAUAUCUUUCUUACCCACGAUCUAUCCAAGAUACGGAUACUAUGAUUACUCAUACUCCAAAUAUCGACAUAUUAAAUGCAGACAACUGCCUUGAAAAGUAUACUGCACUCAUAAAUUCCAUAUAUGAAGUAGUAUCAUUAUCAGGUGGAAAGGUUUGUGACGCAUCGCCAAAAAACCUAAGAAACGACCCAGAAGUUGUAUUUGGUGGAAUGCGAGGAUUGUUCAUCCUUGGUAGAUGAGAGAAGAGAGGCUCUCAGGAAUUUCAGAAACACGCCCGAUAGCCAAAAUCUAGCUAAUUAUUUCAAAGCCUGCAAAAAUGUCUCUAGAGGUCUAUCAAAAAUCAAAUCUUCAAAGUUUAAAUAAUUUCUAGGCACGUUAAGUCCUUCCAAUUCCCUGCUUAAAAAUGUUCAAUUCGUGAAAAGAUAUAAGAAUAGAUUCUAUAACGAUCUUCCUACUUCCAGGGAUUCUCUUUCCAUUGAUAAAGAGCCAGCUCUUAAAGCUGCUUUUGAUAAAAGUUUCUUCAUCUUACCACUACCAUAAUAUCGAGAUCUUAGUAAAUUAUACUUUCUGCAUAGAUAGUGUCCUCAACGCAGCAAUCCCCCAUGCCGAAGUAAUUUCAUCAAUUGAAAAGGCUAAAAGUAGAUCUGCCCCGGGUUCGGAUGCCAUCUCAUAUGCCUUAAUUAAAAAUUUUCCCGAGAUAACUACCCUCUUGGCUAUUCCAAGAGGAUGAGUGGUUUUGAAAGUAUUUUUGAUUUAAAAAAAAUUCUCUAGAGACAAUGUUAGAAAUCCGCGAAAAUCACUUGCAUGUUAGGACACGGAAAAAUGCGAUAAAUUGAAAACGGCCAGUGCGAUCAUGCAAGGCGUCGAAAAAUACAUCAAAAUAUACAGUUUUCUGAUUUUUUAACCAGAAUUGUGCACCAAAAAUUUCUAUCGGUUGAGAAAUUCAGAUUACGCUCGCGCCCGCAGGCCGCAAUUCAAAUACCAAAUAAUUACCGAGCAUCGCAAAUUUCAAAUAGCCGCCCGCAGUCCGCCGGCCGAGAGAUGGCGCGACGUGGCCCACUCCGCACUCUUGCCGCAGCUCACAGCUGCGUGAGCUGCCACUUUACGUCAGUAGUUAUAUCAACGAAUAUAGACUUCCUAUAGAAGAACGGUUCUGGGUUAAAAUGGGGGGACGAAAGCUUGGGUAACAGGCCGUUAGUUCUGUUACCCAACCGCUCGGCGGCGCCACCUAUGAGUUUCCUACAGCUUGGCGCGCAUAUGAGCACGCACAAGCAGACGAUUCAUCAUUCAUGCAGUAUAUUAUGUAAAAUAUACUUUUUAACAAUAAUGAAAGUAAAUAAAUGACAAGAAAAUGAAUAAUGAGUGUGUAAGGAGGUUUUACAAAAGUAUUGGUUGCGACAACCAUAUUUUUCUGACUAGGAAAAAACCGCGAAAACGCAGCUCCUGUCAGUUUCCCGCUCGAUCCUGCUGUGUAAACAGCGCGAAGAGAGCUUUACCGCAGUCUCUGUGUUUGUUGGUCAUUGUAGUCGACAGUUUACAGAUUUUUUUUGCAACAAAUAGCGAUAAAUAAUAGUAGUGAAUAGGGAAGUACAUCGUUCUAGUUUCGUGAGAUUUUUUUGGAUAGGUUUAUCGUGUUUAGCGAAGAAGAUUUCGUGGUCAGCAUGUCGCCUCCACGUGCACUUUGUGUCUACACCGAUUGUGGAACAUCGAAGGCAAAAAAUCCUGAUUUGACCUUUCACAGAUUUCCCAGUGAUGAGAUACGGUAAAUCUGUUUAUCACGAGUGUUAUUAGAGUAAAUAAAUGUGAAAAUUCAGUAAUCAGAGGUUAUAAUAACGUCCGAAAUUCAUGAAAAUCUUUAUACAUUAGUAAAAGUUUCAGAUGUAGAUAAAUUAAAGGAAAAUUGCAGAAAUAAACAAAUAAUUUGAUGAUUAUCAAGGUAAAAAGUCUAUACAAAACAUUUUUAACGAGAAAUUUGGUUUUUUUGUACCAAAAAUAGUGAUGGUUUUGGAUUUCAAUUUUGCAUUUAUUGGUUUUUGGUUUUGAUGAGCAAGUGAUAUUUUAUUUAGAUAUAAUUUAUUCCUUCCUAGGAAGCCUUGUAAUAGUGAUUUUUUGAGUUUGUCUAAAAACGUGUGGGAAGUGUGUUUUGAUGCAUUCUGAGUCGAGAAAUGGUCU
This 2592-nucleotide long non-coding RNA is filed under the name Nasonia vitripennis (jewel wasp). RNAcentral's name for it is "uncharacterized LOC116415778". Lineage: Eukaryota; Metazoa; Arthropoda; Insecta; Hymenoptera; Pteromalidae. The record is from RNAcentral.